This 501-nucleotide ribosomal RNA is filed under the name uncultured bacterium. RNAcentral describes it as "partial 16S ribosomal RNA". It matches the Rfam family "Bacterial small subunit ribosomal RNA", at positions 29 to 523 of the family's 1533-position model. The record is from RNAcentral.
AUUGAACGCUGGCGGCAUGCCUUACACAUGCAAGUCGAACGGCAGCACGGGUGCUUGCACCUGGUGGCGAGUGGCGAACGGGUGAGUAAUACAUCGGAACGUACCUUAUCGUGGGGGAUAACGCAGCGAAAGCUGUGCUAAUACCGCAUACGCCCUGAGGGGGAAAGCGGGGGAUCGCAAGACCUCGCGCGAUUAGAGCGGCCGAUGCCUGAUUAGCUUGUUGGUGGGGUAAAAGCCCACCAAGGCGACGAUCAGUAGCUGGUCUGAGAGGACGAUCAGCCACACUGGGACGGGGACACGGCCCCAACUCCUACGGGAGACAGCAGUGGGGAGUUUUGGACAAUGGGGGCAACCCUGAUCCGGCAAUGCCGCGUGAGUGAAGAGGGCCUUCGGGUUGUAAAGCUCUUUUGUCAGGGAAGAAACACCGGCUCUAACACAGUCUGGGAAUGACGGUACCUGAAGAAUAAGCACCGGCUAACUACGUGCCAGCCGCCGCCGUAA